This 502-nucleotide long non-coding RNA is filed under the name Nicotiana benthamiana. RNAcentral describes it as "long non-coding RNA (NBEN_LNC015949)". Lineage: Eukaryota; Viridiplantae; Streptophyta; Magnoliopsida; Solanales; Solanaceae. The record is from RNAcentral.
CCAAUACAAGCCUUGCUGGAUUGGGGGAGAGUCUCAAUGCCUUAGGGACUUGUUCGAGCAGUCCUUUUAUAUCUGAGAGAUGCAUUCCCAUGUACCUCCGUAGAUCACGACCACUCAUCGUUUUGCAGAGGCACCCCAGCUCUGCACGAUGAGCGGAUUUCAGUUCUGGAUGAGGAGGGGAUUUCACUUCUUCUUCCUUUUCUUUUUCUUCUCCUUCUCCUUCUUCUUCUUCUUCCUUUUCUUUCACGACCACUCAUCGUUUUUCACAGGCUCUCCAGCUCUGCACGAUGAGCGGAUUUCAUCUCUGGAUGAGGAGGGGAUUUCACUUCUUCUUCCUUUUUUUCUCCUUCUCCUUCUUCUGCUUCUUCAUCUUCUUCUUCUAUUUCUUCUUCAGAGGGAUCAGAUUCCCAAGAUGGUACUGGCUCUGCGGCUGGGGCUGCUGGAGGUGAUGACGUGGGUAAAGGAGUGGUAUUGGUUGUAAGUGGGGAAAGCAUAGAGUCUA